CGAGUCGGCCGGGUGAUCGCGGCCCGGGCAACCGGGCUGAGGAAAGUCCGGACUCCGCAGAGCAGGGUGGUGGGCAACACCCACCCGGGGUGACCCGCGGGACAGUGCCACAGAGAACAGACCACCCGGCUUCGGUCGGGCAAGGGUGAAACGGUGGUGUAAGAGACCACCAGCGUCCCAGGUGACUGGGACGGCUCGGUAAACCCCACCCGGAGCAAGACCAAGAAGGCCGGUUUGCCGGCCGCAGACACCGUCCGAGCGCUGCUCGCGCGAGGUGUCUGGGUGGGUUGCACGAGCCCGUCGGCAACGACGGGCCUCAGAUGGAUGAUCACCGACGACAGAAUCCGGCUUACAGGCCGACUCGUCCC
This 368-nucleotide RNase P RNA is filed under the name Arachnia propionica. RNAcentral's name for it is "RNase P RNA component class A". It matches the Rfam family "Bacterial RNase P class A". Rfam says of the family: Ribonuclease P (RNase P) is a ubiquitous endoribonuclease, found in archaea, bacteria and eukarya as well as chloroplasts and mitochondria. The record is from RNAcentral. Lineage: Bacteria; Bacillati; Actinomycetota; Actinomycetes; Propionibacteriales; Propionibacteriaceae.